ACUUUUAUAAGGCAUGAAGGGAUAAUCCUUCCUGGUGAAAUCUGAAAGUCCUUACCUUCUAGGUUACUGAGGUUUCGAGGUCUGGGCAGCCGAUUGGCUGUCUGAUGUGAGGUGGAGAAGAUGGGCCUGGUCAAAGGGGCAGCCUUUGGAUUGGAACUGGAUGCCCAGUCUGUCUGGGAGAAGGAAGGCAGUGAAGGGAAGGACCACGAAAAGGAGUGGCAGAAGACUGGCAGUCCCUUCACCCCACAGCCCUCUGCUUCAUUCUCUGGCAGCUGUCCCUGACCUUUGUGACAUCGAGGUCCCAGCCAAUCACAGCACUCACUCCUGCUGUCCCAACAGCCUCCAAGGCAAAUCUCUGGAGACUCCACCCACUGAGCUCCUCCCCUGGGGUUCUCUAAGCACUCUGAAUUUGUGGACAAAAGCCCCUUUACUACCAGCAUAACUACAUACUUCACUUUCACAAGUUGGCAUGCCUGGGUGAGGGCAAUUAUUUUAGUCAUAUGAGCUUCGAUUUCUGGGAGAGUCAAGUCAAUUCAGUUUUUGAGAGUGCUCUAUAUUUCAAGGGUGAAUUUAUAUCUGUUAUUUUACUUUAUUUAUUUAUUUUUGAGAAAGGGUCUCGCUCUGUCAUCCAGGCUGGAGUGCAAUGGCAUGAUCUCGGCUCACUGAAGCCUCCGCCUCCUGGGUUCAAGCGAUUCUUGUGCCUCAGCCUCCCGAGUAGCUGGAACUACAGGCGUGUGCCUCCACGCCCAGCUAAGUUUUGUAUUUUUGGUGUAGAGAUGGGGUUUCACUAUGUCGGCCAGGCUGGUCUCUAACUCCUGGCCUGAAGUGAUCCACCUGCUUUGGCCUCCCAAAGUGCUGGGAUUACAGAUGUGAGCCACCAUACCCGGUCAAAAUUUUUUAUUUUAAAUAAGUUAUGGAAAUGAUGAAAACAUUUCAUUUACAAAAUAAAUGUGGGCCGGGCGCUGUGGCUCAUGCCUGUAAUCCCAGCAUUUUGGGAGGCCGAGGCGGGUGGAUCACCUGAGGUCGAGAGUUUGAGACUAGCCUGGCCAACAUGGUGAAAACCCAUCUCUACUAAAAAUACAAAAAAUUAGCUGGGCAUGGUGGCACACACCUGUAAUCCCAGCUACUCGGGAGGCUGAGACAGGAGAAUCGCUUGAACCUGAGAGGUGGAGGUUGCUGUGAGCCGAGAUUGUGCCACUGCACUCCAGCCUGGGGACAGAGUGAGGCUCCAUCUCAAAAAUAAAUAAAUAAAUAAAAUUAAUGUAGGAAAUUUAGGAAGUUUGAAUUAUAAGAAAUCUAAUUUUGGUCUGGAAUAAGCCAAAAUAUUGUACUAACAUUUUUUAAAAAAAUAAACUAAUAAGGA
RNAcentral lists this long non-coding RNA (1363 nucleotides) under Homo sapiens (human). Its description in RNAcentral is "HSALNT0053763". The record is from RNAcentral. Lineage: Eukaryota; Metazoa; Chordata; Mammalia; Primates; Hominidae.